Pipra filicauda (Wire-tailed manakin) is the source of this 307-nucleotide long non-coding RNA. RefSeq lists it as uncharacterized. The record is from RefSeq and is a predicted model, not a curated record. The transcript has 2 exons. Lineage: Eukaryota; Metazoa; Chordata; Aves; Passeriformes; Pipridae.
GGCGCUAUCCUCGCACCAGGCCUGGCUAAACGGGAGCGGGCUGCUGUCCCUGGGCAGUCCCCUACAGCGACCCAUGGGAUAAGUGACAUCAGAGAUUUUAGGAGAAGUUGCUUGAUGGGCAAGGAACAUAAGUCUGUCAGUGAGACCUAGGCAAGAAACAAACGUGAAAUCCAACCAUCUUCUGGAAAUGCUGCAGCAUCAGUUGAAAACACAGGAAGGAAAAGCCAAUGUUUUUCCAUUCUUAUCAUCACAAUUACUAUGUGUGUUUUAAGACUAUUUUUAAUGAAGCUCAUUUUUUACCACUGUA